Molecule: ribosomal RNA, 253 nt
Filed under: uncultured bacterium
Lineage: Bacteria
Description: partial 16S ribosomal RNA
Rfam family: Bacterial small subunit ribosomal RNA
Source: RNAcentral
UACGUAGGGUGCGAGCGUUGUCCGGAAUUAUUGGGCGUAAAGGGCUCGUAGGCGGUCUGUUGCGUCAGGAGUGAAAACUCGGGGCUUAACCCCGAGCCUGCUUCUGAUACGGGCAGACUAGAGGUAUGCAGGGGAGAACGGAAUUCCUGGUGUAGCUGUGAAAUGCGCAGAUAUCAGGAGGAACACCGGUGGCGAAGGCGGUUCUCUGGGCAUUACCUGACGCUGAGGAGCGAAAGUGUGGGGAGCGAACAGG